Molecule: transfer RNA, 69 nt
Filed under: Pityophthorus pubescens
Lineage: Eukaryota; Metazoa; Arthropoda; Insecta; Coleoptera; Curculionidae
Description: tRNA-Ser
Source: RNAcentral
GGUAUGAGUCUAUGACGAAAGAAAGCUUCUAACUUCACUCUCAAGCGGUGAAACCCCGUUUUCACACCU